CAUGAGGGUGAGUAAUUAAUGACAGAAAUUUCAUUUUUGGGUGAACUAACCCUUUAAAUAUGACUAUAAAAAUUUCUGUUUUAUAGAAUAACAUGCGCACUGAUGAAUCAUGCACAAUCAUAUGACCGUUAUCAUAGGCGUUUAUUUGACAACGUAAACAAUAUUGAUUUCAUCUUGUCUUUAAAAAGAACACCUGAGAAAAUAUAGAGCGAUUUUACUAAAUCCUAUUGCUGUUCUCUACCAUUUCUUGCACAUUAGCCUAGAGCUUCAGAUUCUAGUUUUCUGUGGUUUUUUGCAGAGUUGUGAGUGUAUAUAGUCAACAAGGAACUAUUUAGCUCCAGAAUGCUCGAGGAGAAGCCCUGAUUGAAUCAGCAUGAUUGGAGCUAUUAUCAUGUUUCCUGUGCAGACCAUGUGACGGGAGAGACGUGGCUUUUGAUGUGAGCCAGUUUGGAAGCCUAUGGCUGAUGCGAACAAGCAUACAGUUAUCAAAGCAGGACAAAAUGAUGCAGAUUCCCUCCAUUCCAUCUGGUGUUUAAAUGUUCAGUGUAUAGGAAUCUACGUGUAAUGCAGUGGGCAGCAUUUGAUGUAAAGGCUUAGCGUGCAAGCGUGUUUGUGGAUGUGAGCGUCUGACCUGGACGUUAUCUGGCGAGCCAUACUUGAGUGUAACUGGGGGAGGGGUGGCGUCAGACAUACAGAGAUCAACCUCAAUAGAGAAGAUUAACCAUGAACUAAUCAUCCUCUCUCUGUGUGCUUCAGGUGGUCUGUGUAUUUGCGUGCACAUGUGUGUGUGUAUGAGGCAAGCGGCAUGCAGCAAAACUCCUGCACUUUUCCGUAAUCCUGGUCUCCAAGCGUGAGCCUGCGAGCAGACUAAUCCGCCGUAUUUACGUAUUAAUAACCAGCCAGGCCACAAGAUCAUCAUUACACAUGGUGUUGUUGUAAGUUAAUCUCUCUAAAUGGGAUGCUUCAGCGCUACAUGACUCCAUGGGACAACCUGUGCAUGACUGAAAUGCGGAGAGAGGGCCAUAAAAAAACAACACAUUAACUUAUCAGCAAGCAUUAAAGCAUUAAAAUAAAUAAAUUAUGAGAAAAUGAAGAUGAUGUGACACUAAACAAUGACUUCUUCUGUUAAUCAGCAAUCAAGCUAAGUUAUCGGCCAAUGCCAUCUUACAAAACGACCCCAUAUCGACUCACAUCUUCAUAUCUAGCAGGAGACGGGAAUGAAUGGCUGUGAAUUCCAAAGGUCCAGCAUGGCACACUAGCCAUAAACGUCUAGACAUCCCCAGCGUCUGUAAGGCUAAAGAGAUUCUCCUUGAUUUAAUAGAUUUAUUAGGCUUUGAUUCGAUUAGGACAGAGAGAGGGCUCAGCUCUAAAUGACAGCUCAGGCAGAGGGCACACUGGCUGCACAGAGGCUAAAUUAAAGGGUAAGUACAGUCUGCCUCGGCUGCUUACCACAAGCCCAGACCCCUCUACCACUCUUCAGAGGUUUCACUUCAGCUAACGGCAUCCCUAAUCACUCUCAUUAUCUGAAAAGUAUCAGGUUUUUAGGCCAGUGAAACUUAAUUGUCAACGGUUUAAUUUUCCGCUUGUGUUGCGCUUUCUGACAGUGCUCUUUGGUGGUAAACGGUGUCAUGACUCGACCAAAAAUGUGGGUGGAAAAAGGUCAGAAAAUGGGAGACUCAGAAGAAACGAUGCCACAAAAAUGACAAGUGGAGGUAAAGAGACAACAGCAAUUCUCUCCAGCGUCCAGUCUCAAACAAGCCUGCACUUUUCCUGUUGUUCCUGCUGUCAUAGCAGAGCCAGAUUUUUUAUCUUAUCACCCUUUCCGAGUGCAUCUAAGCCAGAAAUGUGGAGAAAUGUUCAGAGCUAUGAAGAAAUGUGCUUAGUGGGUUGGGAGUGUAGGGUAAACAGGGUUUUCGAUGAGAAAAAAAGAAGACGCAUGUCCAGUUCAGAGUAAGGUCAGCAUUCAGGUGGAGGUUAGGAAUGCAUGCACAAACCAAAUCAUCCACCCACACACAAGACACACACACAGGCCAACCAUGUGAGUCUCACACGCUUAUCUCAUGGGUGCAUUCCCAUUCUCCACCAUUUCUGUUGCCCUCUUCAUUUCAUUCCUCUUUUUCUUCUGGUCUCUUUCUUACUGUCCUCUGCCUGUCAAAUGAUUGCUUAAUAGUGUUUCUCUUCUCCUUUUUUUUCACAUAACACAGAUUAAACUCUGGAAGAAUCUGACUUCCUUGUCAAAUGAAAAAAAAUAAACAAGUCUUCUAAAUCAGUGACAGAGACCUGAAGUCAUUCAGUUUCAGAGAAUUCAGGCAACAUGAGCAACUACUAUGACACAAAGCUGAGCAGAACUCAACUUUAUGCAAAUAUGCAGUGACACAACUACCAUUGAGAGUGCAGACAGUGAUCCUUAAAGGGGUUAGUUCAGCCAAACAUGACAAUUCUGUCAUCAUCUACUCAAUAUCAUGUUGUUCCAAACCUUUGCAUGUCAUAGGCCAAUUUCAAACUUCCGGGUUAGCCCACGCUGGGUAAACUUAUUUCCGGUAACAACGAUGGCUGAGCCUAACAAGAACCAAUUCGGGAAUCAAAGUCUUUGAGCAAAUUAAAUAUUAUGAAAAUGUUUGAACUAGCUAAAUUUAAGAACCAAUUCGAAAUGAUGGCACUUAACUUGGAUAUAUCUUUCUCCAUGUCUUUUUGGUGUGGCUGUGCAUUAUCAAACUCAAUGUAUCUUCAGAGCUUUUUGCGAUGUGCUGGGGAAAUCAUCGGCUGGCAACUUCCUUCUCACACAGACCUGAUACGCUGAAUCAUAAUGAGAAGACGAACCGUUCGCUCCCUGGACACGUAUCUGGACAUAUCAAUAAUAAAGGGCAACACUUCUGUCAUCUCUCAAUUAUAUUUCAUCUCAUUCACUCACAUAUGCUCCUGUAAUCAUCAUCUUAAAAUCUGUAAAUAUGCACACUAUUAACAAACCCAUUAGUAGUAGUAUUGUUGCUGAGGUACAUUUCAUAAUUGCACUGCUUACUAUUUAAGGCUUGUUCACACCAAGGAUGAUAACUGUAACAAUAAUGAUAAAGAUAUAGUCCUAAAAAUCUUUUAGAGUCCACACCAUAAUUAUAACGAUAACGAGAAACGAUAUCGAUGGAAUCACUUUCAGAAAGAUAUUUUUCAGCUGAAGAACGAUAAAAACAUUGACAGCCAAUCAGAAUCCAUCCUGCUUUAAAGAGCUUGAGCAUUUAAAGCAGCAGAAGACAAAACUGCAGCACGCUUAGAAUAAACAGAACGAAAUCCCCCGCUGGUGUUUUUCCGCUAAUGUAGUUACCUUCAUUCGUGUGAAUGGGUCUUAAUGCAGACUGUGAUUAAUGCAUGUUAUAUACAAAGUGGUCUUGGAAAUAAAUUAUGUCUUAGUUUUAUCAUUGUAAUGUCAGAAUCAGUUAAUAUAUGCCUGAAUGCAGGAUAUAAUGUUGUGAGAUUAAUACAUGCUGAUAUAUACACCGAUCAGGCAUAACAUUAUGACCACCUUUCUAAUAUUGUAUUGGACCCCUUUUUCUGCCAAAACAGCCCUCACCCAUUGAGGCAUGGACUCCACUAGACCCCUGAAGGUGUGCUGUGGUAUCUGGCACCAAGUUAGCAGCAGAUCCUUGAAGUUCUGUAAAUUGCGAGGUGGGGCCUCCAUGGAUCGGACUUGUUUGUUCAGCACAUCCCACAGAUGCUCGAUUGGAUUGAGAUCUGGGGAAUUUGGAGGCCAAGUCAACACCUCAAACUAGUCGUUGUGCUCCUCAAAUCAUUCCUGAAUCAUUUUUGCUUUGUGGCAGGGCGUAUUAUCCUGCUGAAAGAGGCCACAGCUACCAGGGAAUACGGUUUCUAUGAAAGGGUGUACAUGGUCUGCAACAAUGCUUAGGUAGGUGGUACGUGUCAAAGUAACAUCCACAUGGAUGGCAGGACCCAAGGUUUCCCAGCAGAACAUUGCCCAAAUCAUCACACUGCCUCUGCGGGUUUGCCUUCUUCCCAUAAUGCAUCCUAGUGCCAUGUGUUCCCCAGGUACGCGACGCACACGCACCCGGCCAUCCCCCACAUAAAAAAAAGAUUGUUAUAUAGAUUUGGAAAUGGCAUGGGGGUAAGUAAAUGAUGACAGAAUUUUAAUUUUUUGGGUGAACAAUCCCAUUUAGGCAUUACAAUUAUAUUUCUAGAUCUGUAUUUUUAAAAAUGAUUUGAGGUGGGCAUUGAUCACUCAGCAAAGUCUUACCAAAGCUUGAUUACUUGGUUUCUGAUAGUCUUAGCACAAUCAGAAUGGCAGGGUGGUGGGCCGGGCUGGCAGUGCCCUCUGAGGAGAGCGGAUGCCAGGCAGGAACAUGCAGAGGGGCCGUCUGUGCCAGUGAGGGCAGACUCAGGCUUUCAGCGGUCAUGAAUGAGGCUUAUUUAUCCCAGCGCGUGAAUAAGGCCAGUCAGUGAAAACAGCACAAAAGGAGACAGAGGCUCGUUGGCAUGCACACAGUGUUGCCUCAAAAGCAGUGUUGCAAGACUUUGGUAUUAGUGAGAGGCAUUGGAUGAAACAGAGAUCCAGUGUGUGACGGGAUCGUUUCAAAGCACUUUGUUUGCGAGAGAGAUCGUCUGAUUCUGUUAAUAUUGUAAUUAUAAUUUAACUUAUGCAGUGUUAAAAGUCUAAUUCCAUUGUCACGUUAGCAACAAUCACACUUAUCCUAAAGUUACAUGCACUUCCUUGUUUUUGUUUAGUUUUUUGUUGCUUUGUUGUUUUUUUGUUUUUGUUUUUGUGAGGGGGCAGGACCUUGGGGCUGUGCAUCCUGGGUGUUAUUUAUGAGAUGUGUAGCGGAAUUCCUGGGAGCCUGCAGCACCUGCUAUAGUUGGACGGGGAGCCGAGCGGCAGCUGCCGUACUCUGUAAGAGCAGAGAAAAUGUUGUGAAAGCACUGUGAUUAUGUUAUUUAAGUGUUAAGGGAGACCGGGAACAUUAAAGGACAUUGAAAAAGUGUUGUGGAUUUGUUCAGGGAAGCUGGAAGCUGCAGAAGAACUGUGAAAGCUUUGUGAGAACAAAAAGAUCUAACAACGUUUUCAAACACAUUAUGAAAGUGUGCCCAAAAUGUUAAGUGGAUCCUGGGAGUUUUUAAGAAUAAAGCAUGCACUGUAAACCCAAAUUAGUUGGCAAAACUCAAAGCAUUUUAGGCAAUUCAAAGUUUAAGUAAGCAGAACUGGCAGAUUUUUAUUUUGUACUCAUACAUUUUAAUUUAUUAAAUUAUUACAUUUUAUUUAUUAAAUUAUUAUAUAACCCCAAUGUAAACUUUUUUAUUAGUGUAAAAUUAGCUAGCUAUAAGAAGCUAAUUAAAAAAAUGCUAACUUGCUAAUUUGCUAACAUGUUAACAAUAGCAUGGUAUAGAGCUUGCUGAAUAAGUACAGCAAUAUAAAUCAUUUAACAUGCUUGCUCUCAAACCAAGCCGCAUGCACCACUUAUCACCAUUAUGGUAACUCUCCAAAAACCCACAUUAACAGAAAGUCUUCUAAAUUAGCCUAACAAAACAUUAAUCAUGACUAAAUCUCCCACUCAACAUUAAUCUUGCACAAAAAAACAUUAUAUAACACUUAAUUUUAGCAUUUACUCUCCAUUUCGAGUGCCAUUUUCAGUUAAACUUAAGUUCAUCUAAAUUCUAAAAGAAACAAGUUCAUAAAACUCAAAACAAUGAAAAAGUUCAGUUUACUUAAAAUAUAUCAGUUCUGUGAACUUGAAAGAAAAAGUGCUAAAUACUCAUAAAAGUUCAUUUGACUGAACUAAUUGUUAAUUUGCUUAAUUUAAUUUUGUCCUACUCAAACCAAUUAAUUAUUUUGAGUGUUAGGGUGUACAGUGUGUAGCUGAGCUAAAGAAUAAAGAAAGACAAUUAAAUUAAUAAAGAUAAUACUUUAAGGUUCAAUUUGUUAAAAUUGUUUAAUGCAAAGUUAAUUUUUACAAAAACACUAUUGUUGAUUGUUCAUUUUUGUUCAUAAAAUAUUCAAUGUUAAUUCAUACUACAACUUGAAAUGUUAAAAUGUAUUAGCAUAUGUAGAAACUAACCUUGAUUAAUAAAUACUGAAAAUGUGCUAUUCAUAAUUGAACCAUAUUGUAAAAUGUUUCCAAAACUAGUAAUAAAUAAAUAUUAAACGCUAAUAGGUAAACAUGCACUUCACAUGAAGUGUAAACAUCAAAAAAAUAAAAAUAAACCGACGAGUAACUUUCCUAUUUUUUGCCGACGUUUGGACUCAAGUUCAGUCAUUACUUCUUGUCAGUGUUGUAACCAGGUAAACAGAGCACACAGGUGAACAUAGCAAGGUCAGCGUUUGUUUUGACUGCAAACACCUGAAUCAGGACAGGUGGACUUUAAUCUGCCAGUUUGGACAGAGAGCAUCAUCGCCAACACAGCUAAAGCACACAACGAACAAAAAACACAUUAGCACCUGAAUGCUGUAGCAUCUGCUGGGUGAAAUCAGUUCCACUAAAAGUGACCAAAAACACGAGACCAUCCUUAAAAUCAACCAUCAAGGUUUUAGUGAAUUUACUGGUCUUAUAAUGCAUGAUUCAUUGUUGUGUGUCAUUCUAAAUUAAAAAAUAUAUAUUUGUAAUCUUCAGUCAAAAUGCAAUAAAUUGCUCUGACUCAAUUCAAUCAAUUCCUGAUAAAUAAUAUUAACUUUUUGUCAUUAAUUAUUAUAUUUCACUCAGAAAUACAUAACAUUAUAGAAGUAAAAUAGAUUGCAAAUGUCAUUUCAGUUUCAAGUAGAAUGCCAAGAUAUUAACCACCAAUCGGUUCAAGGCACAGAACAAAAUUAUUACACAAGACAUUUAUUUGCUCUUGAUGUCUAACCCCAGUUCAGUAUCAGGUAACUAUCAGGUAAACUUGGCAAGGCCAAAUACUGUGUACUGCAAAUACAGGAGGGAUACCACUCCUUGCACUGUGAUUGGCUGAAAUAUAGAGUGGGAAGCUCUGAUACCAUCAGGUACCAGGUGCAGACGGACAGCAGGGGUGGGGGAGUCUGACAGCACCAGCAGAGGUGAACGCUCACAGCUUAAAAAAAUGUCCAGAUCACGUAGAGCGAGAGCAUGAAACCAAAUCUGGUUCACAUUAGGGCAGUUUUACAAAGGAAAUGUUGCAAUGACAUCCCCUCAACCUCGCACGGGACCCCAGGAUAAUUAUUACUAGUCGAGGUGAGAAAUUCCCGGGAUGCCAUUUAACACAUGGACAGAUGACAUCAGAGGAAAUCUGUGGGGACCUGAGGCAAACAUAUGGAGCUGGAGAGCAGAAACAAACAGUUUACUAAACACCACUUAAACAUAUUCAUCAUCACAUGUCAAGCCAACACACACAAGCAUGUUUAAUGCUUCCUAACAGAUCACAUAGACCCUUAAGAAACAUUUUAAUUGGGGUGACAGCAUCUUGUUUUAUUAUAUUUUGUGUACGAGAGGCUGUGAUACAUCACAAAGUGAUACAUUAAUAAAACACAGACCAUACAUUUCUUCAUACAGGGUAUAAAUGACCAAUGCAGCAUUUUUUUCUGUUUUUCGCAAAGGCUACACUUUUCGCCCCAUCAUAUCUUUCUAGAUGUUUACCAGUGUUGACGGUCGCUGUGGCAGAAAGCCUUUCACAAUCUGACUAAUAAACACACUCAUAGUAUGACCUAACAUGCUACUUCUCCAGGGAGUUCAGAUGGACAAGGACACACACACACACACACAGAUCUCCAGGGAGCCUUGGAUAGAGACGCAUUACGAGUACCCCCUCAAAUCAUAACGCAUCAAACCCUGCAGAGCUCCUCAGAACCUCAGAGAACAGAGAUCUCACGCUGCCUCCCAGCAUCCCUGACAUUUCAUACAUCACUUUGAUAGAUCACCUUAUCAGUGCAGCCGCUCGCCGGCAUAAGAGCUGUAUUCAUAAGGCCAUGCGAGCCUUUGAGCUGAUAAAAGUAUACAGCAUAUUCAUCAUUAUCUUCUUAGCAUUGUUUUGAUGUGAUAAGGGCUGAAAGCAUUAAAUGAGGAUGCAUUAUUUCUAGCUGUAAUUUCACUUUCUGAUGCAACAGGGCUGCAAAUGUUGAAAAUGGAACGGUGACGGCUGAAGGUGUGUUGAUACUCUUUAGGAGCUGUUUCUGUGCGAAAAGAGACUGCCAUGUCUUUUGGAUCAAUCAGGAGAUAUUGCAGGUUGUUGCCUAUUAUAGAUGCAAUAUAGGGAUGAUGGGAUUGGAUGUGAAGGUAAAGCUGGUAAGAUUAAAGAAAUGAAAAAUAUAGCUUUUCGUUUUUAGCAGAGGUUCUUUAUACACAGGGGGUGAAGAUAAGAAAAACACUCUAGGUGGUGAUAAGACUUCCAUUGCUCAUCCUUUACUAUGUCCAUAUAAUGCAUUGAACAGAAUGGUUUUAGGUAGAUUUUUUAUUUUAGGGGGGGGGGGGCAAGGCUAAGGAAUAGUAUACAGGUAAGCAGAUUACACCUCUUCAGGGUGAUACAAGACCCUACUUAAACAGAAAAUAUUAAUUUUGCAUAUUUUUUUUCCUCAAGAUAA
Long non-coding RNA from Ctenopharyngodon idella (grass carp), 8521 nucleotides. RefSeq lists it as uncharacterized. The record is from RefSeq and is a predicted model, not a curated record. NCBI's taxonomy places the organism in Eukaryota, Metazoa, Chordata, Actinopteri, Cypriniformes, Xenocyprididae. The transcript has 2 exons.